UACGGGGGGAGCAAGCGUUGUUCGGAUUUACUGGGCGUAAAGCGCACGUAGGCGGAUUUGUAAGUCAGGGGUGAAAUCCCGGGGCUCAACCCCGGAACUGCCUUUGAUACUGCGAAUCUCGAGUCCGGAAGAGGUGAGUGGAAUUCCGAGUGUAGAGGUGAAAUUCGUAGAUAUUAGGAAGAACACCAGUGGCGAAGGCGGCUCACUGGUCCGGUACUGACGCUGAGGUGCGAAAGCUAGGGGAGCAAACGGG
This 253-nucleotide ribosomal RNA is filed under the name uncultured bacterium. Its description in RNAcentral is "partial 16S ribosomal RNA". It matches the Rfam family "Bacterial small subunit ribosomal RNA", at positions 524 to 776 of the family's 1533-position model. The record is from RNAcentral.